Non-coding RNA from Pungitius pungitius (ninespine stickleback), 514 nucleotides. Lineage: Eukaryota; Metazoa; Chordata; Actinopteri; Perciformes; Gasterosteidae. The record is from the annotation of a RefSeq genome assembly.
CUUGCAGAUGGAGGUCUGCAGAAAUCCUUCUACGUGGAACAAAGUCCAGAGGCUGAGUCCGUCCUGCCGGGCGACUCGGUGACCCUCCAGUGUUCUCUGGUCUCCAGGGACAAAGACGACGGGGUCCAGUGUCCACAUGGACGCAGCGUGUUCUGGUUCAGAUCUGGAUCAGGAGGAUCCCAUCCAGGCUUCAUUUACACUCAGGAUACACAACCGGGGAACACAAGUUGUGUCUACCGUCUGUCCAAAAGGAUCCAGAGCUCCUCUGAUGCUGGGACUUACCACUGUGCCGUGGCCUCAUGUGGAGAGAUCCUGUUUGGUGGAGGAACCAGAGUGGACACAAGUGUCAAACUGGAAAUGCUUGUCAUAGUUCUUGGUGUCCUGUUGGCUUGCUGUGUGACUGUGAUCAUCCUCCUUAUUUUCUACAUGAAUCAAAGGAGAGUUAAAGAAGCAACAAGUGUCGCCUGUAAUCCUGCACAAACCCAGUGGACAGCAGUUUAAUCAGCUAAUCAGG